CACCUCUCCAGCCAGCAGGUAGAUGAUCUCCAUGGUGACAUUACCCAGAAUCCCUCACCUCUCCAGUCAGCAGGUAGAUGAUCUCCAUACUGACAUUACCCAGAAUCCCUCACCUCUCCAGUCAGCAGGUAGAUGAUCUCCAUACUGACAUUACCCAGAAUCCCUCACCCCUCCAGUCAGCAGGUAGAUGAUCUCCAUAAUGACAUUACCCAGAAUCCCUCACCUCUCCAGUCAGCAGGUAGAUGAUCUCCAUACUGACAUUACCCAGAAUCCCUCACCUCUCCGGUCAACAGGUAGAUGAUCUCCAAAGUUAGGUCCAAGAUCCUCUCUGUCAUCUGAUUCCGGUCCUUGUUCAUCUUCACUGAGCCAGUUAGAUGAUCGAACACUGGCCCAAGUCCUAGUAGAAACACCUGAAUCCUGUGUGAUUC
Molecule: long non-coding RNA, 428 nt
Filed under: Pelobates cultripes (western spadefoot toad)
Lineage: Eukaryota; Metazoa; Chordata; Amphibia; Anura; Pelobatidae
Source: RNAcentral